RNAcentral lists this ribosomal RNA (472 nucleotides) under uncultured bacterium. RNAcentral describes it as "partial 16S ribosomal RNA". It matches the Rfam family "Bacterial small subunit ribosomal RNA", at positions 28 to 507 of the family's 1533-position model. The record is from RNAcentral.
GACGAACGCUGGCGGCGUGCUUAACACAUGCCAGUCGAACGCUGAAGCUUGGUGCUUGCACUGGGUGGAUGAGUGGCGAACGGGUGAGUAAUACGUGAGUAACCUGCCCUUGACUCUGGGAUAAGCCUGGGAAACUGGGUCUAAUACUGGAUACGACAUGUCACCGCAUGGUGGUGUGUGGAAAGGGUUUUACUGGUUUUGGAUGGGCUCACGGCCUAUCAGCUUGUUGGUGGGGUAAUGGCUCACCAAGGCGACGACGGGUAGCCGGCCUGAGAGGGUGACCGGCCACACUGGGACUGAGACACGGCCCAGACUCCUACGGGAGGCAGCAGUGGGGAAUAUUGCACAAUGGGCGGAAGCCUGAUGCAGCGACGCCGCGUGAGGGAUGAUGGCCUUCGGGUUGUAAACCUCUUUCAGCACGGAAGAAGCGAAAGUGACGGUACGUGCAGAAGAAGCGCCGGCUAACUACGUG